RNAcentral lists this ribosomal RNA (497 nucleotides) under uncultured bacterium. RNAcentral describes it as "partial 16S ribosomal RNA". It matches the Rfam family "Bacterial small subunit ribosomal RNA", at positions 28 to 507 of the family's 1533-position model. The record is from RNAcentral.
GACGAACGCUGGCGGCGUGCCUAAUACAUGCAAGUUGAGCGCUGAAGGUUGGUACUUGUACCAACUGGAUGAGCAGCGAACGGGUGAGUAACGCGUGGGGAAUCUGCCUUUGAGCGGGGGACAACAUUUGGAAACGAAUGCUAAUACCGCAUAAAAACUUUAAACACAAGUUUUAAGUUUGAAAGAUGCAAUUGCAUCACUCAAAGAUGAUCCCGCGUUGUAUUAGCUAGUUGGUGAGGUAAAGGCUCACCAAGGCGAUGAUACAUAGCCGACCUGAGAGGGUGAUCGGCCACAUUGGGACUGAGACACGGCCCAAACUCCUACGGGAGGCAGCAGUAGGGAAUCUUCGGCAAUAGACGAAAGUCUGACCGAGCAACGCCGCGUGAGUGAAGAAGGUUUUCGGAUCGUAAAACUCUGUUGGUAGAGAAGAACGUUGGUGAGAGUGGAAAGCUCAUCAAGUGACGGUAACGACCCAGAAAGGGACGGCUAACUACGUG